This 345-nucleotide unclassified non-coding RNA is filed under the name soil metagenome. RNAcentral's name for it is "partial contains 5.8S ribosomal RNA, internal transcribed spacer 2, and large subunit ribosomal RNA". The stretch from base 1 to 120 matches the Rfam family "5.8S ribosomal RNA", at positions 35 to 154 of the family's 154-position model. The record is from RNAcentral.
GAUGAAGAACGUAGCGAAAUGCGAUACGUAAUGUGAAUUGCAGAAUUCAGUGAAUCAUCGAGUCUUUGAACGCACAUUGCGCCCCCUGGUAUUCCGGGGGGCAUGCCUGUCCGAGCGUCAUUGCUGCCCUCAAGCACGGCUUGUGUGUUGGGCCUCCGUCCUCCUCCCGGGGGACGGGCCCGAAAGGCAGCGGCGUCACCGCGUCCGGUCCUCGAGCGUAUGGGGCUUCGUCACCCGCUCUUGUAGGCCCGGCCGGCGCUUGCCGACACAUCAAUCUUUUUUCCAGGUUGACCUCGGAUCAGGUAGGGAUACCCGCUGAACUUAAGCAUAUCAAUAAGCGGAGGA